UACGAAGGGGGCUAGCGUUGCUCGGAAUCACUGGGCGUAAAGGGUGCGUAGGCGGCCCGUUAAGUCAGUGGUGAAAGCCUCCAGCUCAACUGGAGAACUGCCAUUGAUACUGGCGGGCUUGAGUACAGACGAGGUAGGCGGAAUUGAUUGUGUAGCGGUGAAAUGCAUAGAUACAAUCAAGAACACCGAUUGCGUAGGCAGCUUACUAGGCUGUAACUGACGCUGAGGCACGAAAGCGUGGGGAGCGAACAGG
Molecule: ribosomal RNA, 253 nt
Filed under: uncultured bacterium
Lineage: Bacteria
Description: partial 16S ribosomal RNA
Rfam family: Bacterial small subunit ribosomal RNA
Source: RNAcentral